This is a long non-coding RNA of Hippoglossus stenolepis (Pacific halibut), 657 nucleotides long. RefSeq lists it as uncharacterized. The transcript has 2 exons. Lineage: Eukaryota; Metazoa; Chordata; Actinopteri; Pleuronectiformes; Pleuronectidae. The record is from RefSeq and is a predicted model, not a curated record.
ACCUUCUGAUCACCACCUUCGACCCGGGCGAUGUCUUUGUCGAGACGCUUCCCUCCGGCUGACAGCGAGGUGUUGUCGUGGAACAGGCAGGGGAAGCUUUCCACGGGCGGAUUUGAAGGCUGACUCGUACAGUGCAGUCGAGCCAAGUCGAUCCCGGUGCGUUUUCUUGGCUGCCCCUCUCUCCUGGAACCGACCGUGGCCGAAUAACAGCGAGAGAUCAGCCGAGACUCACUUCCGCUUCUGGCGCCGCCCCCUCUCACCGCGGCCGCGCCCCCGGAGAGCCACACCUCGGCGUGUGAUUGGUCGGCGUGCCGGCAGCCUCGCCCGAUUUCCUCAUCGUUUCACCGCCGCGCACCAAUAGCACAGCCGUGUCAUCCGUAAGCCCCGCCCACUGAGGUCGGAAUCAUUGUUAAAAAAAGAAAAAGAGAAGCGCUGCUGCUGCACGGUCGUGUGCUUUUCCGAUGCAGCCGGUACCAGGUCGUGAGAAAGCUGAGAUCUGCACCUCCCAUCCCGAAAGGAUGGAAAAGAGCAACCAGGGCCCGAGCGUUUUAAUCUCAGGCUCCCUCCAUGCACGAGUGGGAAUGACCUGCUUUACAGCACGCAUCCCGUGUGCCACAGCAGAAAGGAUUUGAAGAAAAUAAAUAUAUAUAUAAAGGG